UAGGGAAUCUUCCACAAUGGACGCAAGUCUGAUGGAGCAACGCCGCGUGAGUGAAGAAGGUUUUCGGAUCGUAAAGCUCUGUUGUUGGUGAAGAAGGAUAGAGGCAGUAACUGGUCUUUAUUUGACGGUAAUCAACCAGAAAGUCACGGCUAACUACGUGCCAGCAGCCGCGGUAAUACGUAGGUGGCAAGCGUUGUCCGGAUUUAUUGGGCGUAAAGCGAGCGCAGGCGGAAUGAUAAGUCUGAUGUGAAAGCCCACGGCUCAACCGUGGAACUGCAUCGGAAACUGUCAUUCUUGAGUGCAAGAAGAGGAGAGUGGAACUCCAUGUGUAGCGGUGGAAUGCGUAGAUAUAUGGAAGAACACCAGUGGCGAAGGCGGCUCUCUGGUCUGCAACUGACGCUGAGGCUCGAAAGCAUGGGUAGCGAACAGGAUUAGAUACCCUGGUAGUCCAUGCCGUAAACGAUGAGCGCUAGGUGUUGGGGACUUUCCGGUUCU
RNAcentral lists this ribosomal RNA (495 nucleotides) under uncultured bacterium. RNAcentral's name for it is "partial 16S ribosomal RNA". It matches the Rfam family "Bacterial small subunit ribosomal RNA", at positions 355 to 840 of the family's 1533-position model. The record is from RNAcentral.